AGAGUUUGAUCCUGGCUCAGAUUGAACGCUGGCGGCAGGCCUAACACAUGCAAGUCGUGCGGUAGAGAGAAGCUUGCUUCUCUUGAGAGAGGCGGACGGGUGAGUAAUGCCUAGGAAUCUGCCUGGUAGUGGGGGAUAACGUUCGGAAACGGACGCUAAUACCGCAUACGUCCUACGGGAGAAAGCAGGGGACCUUCGGGCCUUGCGCUAUCAGAUGAGCCUAGGUCGGAUUAGCUAGUUGGUGAGGUAAUGGCUCACCAAGGCAACGAUCCGUAACUGGUCUGAGAGGAUGAUCAGUCACACUGGAACUGAGACACGGUCCAGACUCCUACGGGAGGCAGCAGUGGGGAAUAUUGGACAAUGGGCGAAAGCCUGAUCCAGCCAUGCCGCGUGUGUGAAGAAGGUCUUCGGAUUGUAAAGCACUUUAAGUUGGGAGGAAGAGCAGUUACCUAAUACGUGAUUGUUUUGACGUUACCGACAGAAUAAGCACCGGCUAACUCUGUGCCAGCAGCCGCGGUAAUACAGAGGGUGCAG
This 534-nucleotide ribosomal RNA is filed under the name uncultured bacterium. RNAcentral's name for it is "bacterial SSU rRNA". It matches the Rfam family "Bacterial small subunit ribosomal RNA", at positions 8 to 537 of the family's 1533-position model. The record is from RNAcentral.